GAAAGCAUCUAAGCAUGAAGCCCCCCUCAAGAUGAGAUUUCCCAACUUCGGUUAUAAGAUCCCUCAAAGAUGAUGAGGUUAAUAGGUUCGAGGUGGAAGCAUGGUGACAUGUGGAGCUGACGAAUACKAAUCGAUCGAAGACUUAAUCAAAUU
This 153-nucleotide ribosomal RNA is filed under the name Staphylococcus aureus. RNAcentral's name for it is "partial 23S ribosomal RNA". It matches the Rfam family "Bacterial large subunit ribosomal RNA", at positions 2773 to 2925 of the family's 2925-position model. The record is from RNAcentral. Lineage: Bacteria; Bacillati; Bacillota; Bacilli; Caryophanales; Staphylococcaceae.